Molecule: ribosomal RNA, 801 nt
Filed under: uncultured bacterium
Lineage: Bacteria
Description: bacterial SSU rRNA
Rfam family: Bacterial small subunit ribosomal RNA
Source: RNAcentral
GAAUUCGCCCUUAGAGUUUGCUUUUGGCUCAGGAUGAACGCUGGCGGCGUGCCUAACACAUGCAAGUCGAACGAUGAAACCGCCCCCGGGCGGACAUGAAGUGGCGAACGGGUGAGUAACACGUGACCGACCUGCCCCCCGCCCAGGGACAGCCCCCCGAAAGGGGGAUUAAUACCUGGUACUCCGGAAGCGGCGCAUGCCGCCCCCGGGAAAGCUCCGGCGGCGGGGGAUGGGGUCGCGGCCCAUCAGGUAGACGGCGGGGCAGAGGCCCACCGUGCCGACGACGGGUAGCCGGGUUGAGAGACCGACCGGCCACAUUGGGACUGAGAUACGGCCCAGACUCCUACGGGAGGCAGCAGUGGGGAAUAUUGCACAAUGGGGGAAACCCUGAUGCAGCGACGCCGCGUGGAGGAAGAAGGUCUUCGGAUUGUAAACUCCUGUUGUUGAGGAAGAUAAUGACGGUACUCAACAAGGAAGUGACGGCUAACUACGUGCCAGCAGCCGCGGUAAAACGUAGGUCACAAGCGUUGUCCGGAAUUACUGGGUGUAAAGGGAGCGCAGGCGGGAAGACAAGUUGGAAGUGAAAUCCAUGGGCUCAACCCAUGAACUGCUUUCAAAACUGUUUUUCUUGAGUAGUGCAGAGGUAGGCGGAAUUCCCGGUGUAGCGGUGGAAUGCGUAGAUAUCGGGAGGAACACCAGUGGCGAAGGCGGCCUACUGGGCACCAACUGACGCUGAGGCUCGAAAGUGUGGGUAGCAAACAGAAUUAGAUACCCUGGUAGUCCACACUGUAAACGAUGAUU